UUCACGUCGCGCGCAUCUGGCUUCUCUCCGCGCCGCCGCCUUCUUCCCGCGCGCACGAAGAGGAAUCCGUCGCCUUCCCGCGCUCCGCGAAGCCCAAUUGCCGUGUAGCGGACAGGAUCAGCGACGCCGCCGGCUGCUAGGGUUCAGUUUUGCUCCAAUGGAAGGAGGUGGAUAUUUUACAAACCUGGUGACGGGAGAUUAUGUUGAUGUUCCUAGUUUGGAAGACUUGACCUUUCCUACAGUGGAGACUCAAGAAAUUAAUGACAUGGCUUGUGAAGCGCAACUAGUUGAUGAGCAAGUGCAGCCACAACAAGGUGCCGGACGUCGUACCAGUACAAAAGGUUCGUCUAAGAGGACCAAAAAUUUUGAUGACGAUGAGGAUAUAGCUGUAUGCUCAGCUUGGUUGAACGUUAGCAAAGAUCCUAUUCAUGGAGCUAAUCAAACCCGUUCGUCAUUUUGGGGUAGAAUUCGAGCUUACUUUGAGGAACACAAGACAACUCCAGCUUCUAGGUCAGAGAGUUCGAUUAUGCAUAGGUGGCUGACUAUUCAGAAGGAAGUGAAUAAGUUUUGUGCAUGCUACGAGAAGGUUGAGCAAAGGAAUCAAAGUGGAGCAACUAUUCAAGAUAUGAUUUCUCAAGCACUGGAAGGUGUACAAGGGAUUAGACGAAGACAAGAAGUCAUUUACUCUUUUACCAUGUUGGAAUAAGUUGAAUAAAGAAGACAAGUGGCAGGCCAAGAGGAAGGAACUAGCUGAGCAGCACAAACAAACCAGUAAGAAAAAACAGAAGGUUAACAUAGACUCCACGCCCAGGACUGUAGCUGCCAUCAAUGCUGAAGAUGUCACAGGGAUUGCAGUACCACAUUCCGAAGCAAGAAUGAGGCCACAAGGUCAGAAGAUAGCAAAAGAAGCUCUGAAGCGAGGCGGAACCGAAGCUUGCAUGGAGGCAUUGGACAAGUUGUAGAGUAAAAAGGAGGCUUUUGAUUUAGAGAGAGAGAAGAAGAAAGGGGAGAGGUUCCUAGUUUCACUUGAGCUAGAGAAGAAGCGAUUUUCAAUAGAAGAAAAAAGAGCUGAAUCUGACUUAAUCAAAGAGGAAAAAGAAAUAAUGCAAAUGGACAUGACCUCUCUCACCCCGCUGCAGCGACAAUAAUACUACGAAACGAUGCAGCAAAAUAUCAUCGCUCGACGUUUGGCAAAUUAGAUUUGAUUAAUUUUUUAUGUUUCAGAGAACAAUGUAUUUAUGUUUGGUGUGCUUCACAGAACGUUUUCAUAUUAAGUCAUUUACGUUUCA
This is a long non-coding RNA of Sorghum bicolor (sorghum), 1289 nucleotides long. RefSeq lists it as uncharacterized. The transcript has 3 exons. The record is from RefSeq and is a predicted model, not a curated record. NCBI's taxonomy places the organism in Eukaryota, Viridiplantae, Streptophyta, Magnoliopsida, Poales, Poaceae.